This 336-nucleotide ribosomal RNA is filed under the name Triticum aestivum (bread wheat). RNAcentral describes it as "partial small subunit ribosomal RNA". The record is from RNAcentral. Lineage: Eukaryota; Viridiplantae; Streptophyta; Magnoliopsida; Poales; Poaceae.
AUGUUUGUCUUCAAAUUACCAAAAGGAGUAUGCAAGUCAAUUACCAAUAAGAUAGCCGGUUUUUGGUGGGGAGACGGGAAACAAAAGAAGAAGACGCAUUGGUUUGUGUGGUGGAAAAUGUGCAUUUUGAAAAAGAAGGGUGGUAUGGGGUUUAGGGACCUUCACAUCUUGAAUCUUGCUAUUUUAGAAAAGCAGUGUUGGUGACUUCUUCAGAAUCUUGAAUCUUUAUGUGCGCGAGUUUUGAGUGCUAACUAUUAUCGAGAUGGUGACAUAGUAAAAGCAGGGACGAAGAAGGGUUCUUCAUACACAUGGCAAAGCAUUGUUCCAGAUAUCUAG